AGAGUUUGAUCAUGGCUCAGGACGAACGCUGGCGGCGUGCUUAACACAUGCAAGUCGAACGGAAAGGCCCGCUUGCGGGUACUCGAGUGGCGAACGGGUGAGUAACACGUGGGCAACCUGCCCUCAGCUCUGGGAUAACUCCGGGAAACCGGUGCUAAUACUGGAUAUCGACUUCUGCCUCGCAUGGGGUGUUGUUGAAAGUUUUUCGGCUGGGGAUGGGCCCGCGGCCUAUCAGCUUGUUGGUGGGGUGAUGGCCUACCAAGGCGACGACGGGUAGCCGGCCUGAGAGGGCGACCGGCCACACUGGGACUGAGACACGGCCCAGACUCCUACGGGAGGCAGCAGUGGGGAAUAUUGCGCAAUGGGCGGAAGCCUGACGCAGCGACGCCGCGUGAGGGAUGACGGCCUUCGGGUUGUAAACCCCUUUCAGCUCUGACGAAGCGAGAGUGACGGUAGGAGCAGAAGAAGCACCGGCCAACUACGUGCCAGCAGCCGCGGUAAUACGUAGGGUGCAAGCGUUGUCCGGAAUUAUUGGGCGUAAAGAGCUCGUAGGCGGUCUGUCGCGUCGAAUGUGAAAACCCGGGGCUCAACCCCGGGCCUGCAUUCGAUACGGGCAGACUAGAGUUCGGUAGGGGAGUCUGGAAUUCCUGGUGUAGCGGUGAAAUGCGCAGAUAUCAGGAGGAACACCGGUGGCGAAGGCGGGACUCUGGGCCGAUACUGACGCUGAGGAGCGAAAGCGUGGGGAGCAAACAGGAUUAGAUACCCUAGUAGUCC
Molecule: ribosomal RNA, 774 nt
Filed under: uncultured bacterium
Lineage: Bacteria
Description: bacterial SSU rRNA
Rfam family: Bacterial small subunit ribosomal RNA
Source: RNAcentral